This is a transfer RNA of 77 nucleotides. It matches the Rfam family "tRNA". Rfam says of the family: Transfer RNA (tRNA) molecules are approximately 80 nucleotides in length. Their secondary structure includes four short double-helical elements and three loops (D, anti-codon, and T loops).
GGGCCCGUAGCUCAGCAGGAUAGAGCGGCGGCCUUCGGAGCCGCAGGUCGCGGGUUCGAGUCCCGCCGGGCCCGCCA